This 4280-nucleotide long non-coding RNA is filed under the name Nicotiana benthamiana. RNAcentral's name for it is "long non-coding RNA (NBEN_LNC024363)". Lineage: Eukaryota; Viridiplantae; Streptophyta; Magnoliopsida; Solanales; Solanaceae. The record is from RNAcentral.
GCAUUUUGAGAGUCAUUACCCCAUCUGGACGUUGAUGUGGCAAAUUGUGUGGGUUCACGCGCCUAACACGUUGAUUUUUCUGAGAUGUGACAUUUUUUUAAAAUAAAUUAUAUUUUUACCUUUUUAAGUAUGUUAUAUUUUUAUAUUAUUUUUUUUCGAAUGCAAUUUAUAAUAAAACUUGGAUAUGACUACAUUAUUUAGGCAAAAAUUUUAUUUGACUAAAAGUAAUAAAGGUUUAGUCAAUUUGUUUUUUUUUGAAUUUGACCUUGUCAACGCCUCCUUUUUCAUGAUAGGUCGAAAUCAGGUGUACGACAUUAUGGGAGGACAACUCUAUUCCCUUGCGAGAAUUGGGUUUUGGAAUUUGCAGAGUCGUCACCUAAUGAUUAUAGUGCAUUAGUACACUUUUAACGAAAAAGGAAAAAAGAAAUUUGAGAAGAACCAUAAUUUGGGUAAGGGCUUUGAGAUUAUCUCAAGGGGAAGGUGUUAGGCACCCCUCAAGAUCCACUAGUGUGGUUCCCGGCCAUACUAUAAUUGUGAUUUUAGAAGAUGGAAGAAGCAAAUAAGGUUUUCGCAUAAUUAUUACAAAUAAGUUCGAAAGUUUAAAAGAGAAAAGAAACGGAAAAUUUUAGAAAGUUGGUUAAAAGAGACCAAAAUUAAAAGAAACAUUAUAAGUGAUGGGAACGGAGAGUCCGAGGUUUAUACAUAAUAUGGAUCACAUCAAUGCAAUACCCGACGCACACUCCUAAAAAGAGGGGUCGCACGUGAUACUAACACACUGGUCAUCAUAUACAUAUUCUACCCUUCCCACCUCGUUAAGGUAUUAAAGCGCGAUUAGUCUCGUUUACUUAUUGCAUGCUAGUAUCCGUCCCAAUCCUAUCAGUCCCGGAGUAUUAGGACUUCUAAUCCUAAAUGGGAGAGAAGGAUGGAGCCUUUAUGGAGUUUAAAGGAUAAAACACCAGUUCGACAUUCAAAACACGUAUCAAAUAAGAGAAGAGCAAUCAAGCAAAUAAGGCUCAAACAAACCCCUAAAAUCAGAUAAAUCAUGUAGUUUAGCAUGUCUUUGCAAAUACUGAUUUGGUCUUUAAAUUAGAUUAAGGCGUGAGCGGACUGGUUUAACACAUAUAUUUAGAUGGAAAGUCUACAUUAGGCCACUCGGAUACAGUUGUCAGAGAUUAAGUCACUUGAUUAACGGGAAUUGAAUAAGAUUACUGAAUUAGAAAAGAAAUUUGUAAAUGAAGGAAAAGGUAUGCUGCAGACUUGAAAAAGAUUUAGGAACGAGUUCAAAAGAGAAACAGACUGCCUAAUUGUAGUUAAACACAGAAAGAGUAAUUUUAAAAUUUUUUUAGAAGAGGCAGACUGUUUAAAGAAAAUAAGUGAAUUGCAGAACUGGUUUAAAGACUGACACGUUCAAAAUAAUGGAACCGAAUUGGAAAACACAUUUGGUCAAAUUAUUAGAAAUGAGUUUUAGAAGAACAUGCAAGUUUUAAAGAUUAGAUUCUAGGAAAAAGAGUACACAUUGAUUUGAGAAAGGUUCAUCAAAAGAUUAAGUUUUUACAAAAGAUAUACUGAUCUAAGCGUGGAGAAACCAGUUGUUUUAAUCAAUUGUUACUGCUUUUAGACAGGCGAGGCGAAUUUGAUUUUAAAAACUCCUAUAGGCAUGAUAUCUACGAGUUAUUGAUUUUAAGCCUUGUUAAUAAACAGAUGCUGAUUUGAUUAAUCCUACAAGUUUUCCUAAUGUCAUGAAUAUGCAUAUUCCAAUAGGCAUGGUAUCUAUAUGCAAGAUUAUAGAAAGUUUAAAUAUUUACUCCUAUAGAUAUGAUUUCUAUGUGACAUGAAUUUCCAAUACAAGCAGUAAAGAUCCUAGGGGCAUGAUUUCAACCCUUUAAUGCAGAAAAGUAAACCCCCACCCUUUUCACUAUAUUAUCCGAGUUUAUAUAAGUUAUUAAAUACCCAAAAAAUAGAGAAAAAUACAUCAGAAACUAACAACUAGAUCCGAGCAGCCUAAUUCAGGCUUAGUUUCUAAUAAUAUGCGAUUUAGCCACUUCGGGAUCCAGAUUUCAAAGCUUUCUCUCUAUCUAGGAUGUUUCAAAGUUUCAAGAAAUUUCAUGAAUUCUCGGCAUUGCUUACACUCAAGAUAUCAUUAGAAUUAGAAAUAUUGCAGUGUGGAAAAGCCAGCUCUCGGGAAUCCAAGUUCAAAGGGAGAUCAGUGGUCCCAAAGCAAGGCUUGCAAGAGAGGGGCAGAACUUAAUCACCAAGAAUGAAUGUAAGUGCAAAAGGAGUUGGGGAGCCAUAACAGGUGGUGGUCAUGCCUAGCCACAAAACAGGCUGGCACACCCUUGAUCAAACCUAUUUAGCCAUCAAACAAGAGCAUGGACCUACGAAGGUUAGACUAUGAUCUGGACAAUGAUAACAUUGCCAGACCAAGGUCUUAGGCUCAGAGCACACAAAAGCGGAAAGGGAGUAAGAAUUGAUAUAGUUUAAGAUUUAAGGAAUCCAGUCCAUACACAUGAACAACAAUGUUUGAGUAUUGUCAUGCUCUAUGAACCAUAACUCCACAGAUAAAAGGGGUUAGGGAUAAAGGGAUUCACAUAAGAACAAAAGAUGAUAAACUUGUAGAAGAGCAGCAGGAAAGAAGCACAAAAGAACUAAAAUAUAAAACACAUAAGAUAGAGGCAAUAUUUAAAUUAGGAUAGAUAUACCAGUUGCAAAGGUAAGCAGAAAAAAAACAGAGUACCUGCAGCCACAAACAAACAAGGAAAGAUUAACUCAGAACUUUAGCAGAACUAACUCGAAUUGCUUUUAGAGGACUUAGAAGUAUUUGAGAGAGAGAGAGAAAGAGAAGUAGUGAGGGUGUGUGUUUGUGUGUGUUUCAAAACUUGUCUCUGUGUGUUUGUAUGUUUGAAAGAAAAGAGUAUAUGUAUUUAUAGUUUUGAAAACGAGCAUACAGUAAGGUAAGCAACAUAUUUUUAACACAAACAAGAAAGUAAUCACAAGUAAGAAUCAAUUAACCCAAGUGACUGCCCUUUAAUAAUCAUUAUCUAACAGGUGUCAACAGAUCUAAUUAAGGAAAGGAAAUCAGCUUGGAGACAAACUGGGUAUUACCAUAAAAGAAGCAGUAAAAUCAUACAAUAGGCAAACAAGUCGAGGUACAAGAUUUGUUGUGUUAGAAAGAUUUAGUGAGGCAAAAUCAAAGGAAAAGAAUCAAAUUAACCCUUGAUAGGCUAGUAAAUCAGAAUUUCGUGGAGGUAAAAGUUUGAAAUCAAUUCCAAGUUUUGAAGGACUCAGUAUAUAAUUCAUGCACAAAUAACUGACAUGUGAAGUCGAGCUAUGGCAAAAGAAAUAGCAUAGAGUAGGCAUUCAAACAUGUGUAGUAAAGAGAGAAAGAAUCAAGACAUACAAAGAGUUGAGCAAGCUGAGAUCGUAUAGAGAAAAGAAAUGCAGGAAUCAAAUUUGUAUAGUUCCAAACAGGAAAUUCAGACAAAAACUUCACAGGAUUCGAGGAAUCCCCAGAAGAACUAAGGCUUUUCAAAAAAUCAGUUAGGUCUAGAUAAAAAUAUGAGAAAUACAUAAUUUCAGAGUCCCAAGUGAAACCCCCAAAAUUAGGGUUACAUCUAUCAAUCACGAAUAGCCAGGCUCAUGAGCUCAAAUAAAUCCCCAGAAAUAGGGUUCUUAAACAUUAAACAAACUUGGAGAAAAUCAAAUGAAACCAUAAUAAAUAGACUCAGACAAAGACACAAAAAAAAUUAGGGUUUUUAGUCAUGCUUACACAGGUAAAGGAAGCAACACAAGUAAAGCAUAGAAACAUACUGAGAACAAGAAAGAAAAUUCGAAAACCAUUAAACACAAAAAUCUGUUAAAGGAACGAAGAAUUUUGAAAAGCAAAAAAUUUGGGGAAACUUUGAGAAACAUGCUCAACAAGUUCAAAUACACAUAGAUCUAGGGCAGAUCUAAAAUAAACCUUAGAGCUAGGGUUUCGAAGAACCCAGAGAAGAUGAGAAAGGCUUUGCAAAUUGACGAUCUAACCAGGAGAAUCACAUAUCUAACUCGAAGGGCCAUGACUGACCGGAGAAGGGUCAGGGGUGCCCGAAAAGAAGCCAUAAAUGGAAGUAAAUCCAAUAUCUGGUCGUGAAACCACAGGUAUGAACACCUAGGAGCCCAGAGGGUCCAUUGAACACCUCCAAUGGCCAUAGGAAUCCAUGGAUCAAGGUGGGAUUGAAUAGAGACAGCUAGGGCUUGUGAGGGUUUCAGAGGGAGUUGAGAGAGAAAAGGGGUUUGAAGGC